RNAcentral lists this ribosomal RNA (492 nucleotides) under uncultured bacterium. RNAcentral's name for it is "partial 16S ribosomal RNA". It matches the Rfam family "Bacterial small subunit ribosomal RNA", at positions 29 to 507 of the family's 1533-position model. The record is from RNAcentral.
AGUGAACGCUGGCGGUAGGCCUAACACAUGCAAGUCGAACGGCAGCACAGUAAGAGCUUGCUCUUACGGGUGGCGAGUGGCGGACGGGUGAGGAAUACAUCGGAAUCUACUUUUUCGUGGGGGAUAACGUAGGGAAACUUACGCUAAUACCGCAUACGACCUACGGGUGAAAGCAGGGGAUCUUCGGACCUUGCGCGAUUGAAUGAGCCGAUGUCGGAUUAGCUAGUUGGCGGGGUAAAGGCCCACCAAGGCGACGAUCCGUAACUGGUCUGAGAGGAUGAUCAGCCACACUGGAACUGAGGCACGGUCCAGACUCCUACGGGAGGCAGCAGUGGGGAAUAUUGGACAAUGGGCGCAAGCCUGAUCCAGCCAUACCGCGUGAGUGAAGAAGGCCUUCGGGUUGUAAAGCCCUUUUGUUGGGAAAGAAAAGCAGCAGGUUAAUACCCCGCUGUUCUGACGGUACCCAAAGAAUAAGCACCGGCUAACUUCGUG